This 860-nucleotide ribosomal RNA is filed under the name uncultured Neocallimastigales. RNAcentral's name for it is "partial large subunit ribosomal RNA". It matches the Rfam family "Eukaryotic large subunit ribosomal RNA", at positions 22 to 644 of the family's 3401-position model. Lineage: Eukaryota; Fungi; Neocallimastigomycota; Neocallimastigomycetes; Neocallimastigales. The record is from RNAcentral.
GUACACGCUGUGACUAGCAUAUCAAUAAGCGGAGGAAAAGAAACUAACAAGGAUUCCCCUAGUAACGGCGAGUGAAGCGGGAAGAGCUCAAAUUUGAAAUCUUAAAGGGUUUCCCUUUACGAAUUGUAGUUUAAAGAAGUGUUUUCUGUUGAGGUUUUGGUAAAAGUUCUUUGGAAUAGGACAUCAUAGAGGGUGAGAAUCCCGUAUUUGACCUUUACUUUCAACUUUGUGAUACACUUUCAAAGAGUCGGAUUGUUUGGGAAUGCAGUCCAAAAUGGGUGGUAAAUUUCAUCUAAAGCUAAAUAUUGGCGAGAGACCGAUAGCGAACAAGUACCGUGAGGGAAAGAUGAAAAGAACUUUGAAAAGAGAGUUAAACAGUACGUGAAAUUGUCAAAAGGGAAGCGUUUGACACCAGUGUUGUUUUUCUGAAAAUCAAUUAAAGAACUGUUUAUGCUAAGCUGUUUAGACUUUAUCAGCUAAUCUGUUUAGUUUUGAGCUUUCUCUUUAAUGCACUUUUCAGUUAACAAGUCAACAUCAAUUUCUUUUGCUGUAAAAAAGCUUGAGGAAGGUGGCUUGAGAUUCGUCUUAAGUGUUUAUAGCCUCUUGCCUAUGCAGUCGGAGAGAUUGAGGUCUGCAGCGUAGAUCCUUCGGGGCUAAAUGCAUUUGUGCUAAGUUAUAGCAUUUUAUAGACAACUUGUUGACUAUGAUUUGUCUUGUAGCUUACUCGCUUAUGUUAUUUUACCUACGCUUAGGAUGUUGACGAGACUGUCGAUCUCAUCUAUACAUGGCUCCGUGCAUAUCAAUAAGCGGAGGAAAAGUCAACUACCUACGCUUAGGAUGUUGAAUCUGUGCGAGACUAC